CACCUCUCAGGCUGGCACCUGGAGAGUUUCCCAUACUCUACCAGUCUCGACUAUGGGAGGGAGAGUCAAGCAGAGGCCUGCCCAUUCCAUUCCUAGCUAGACCAGUGGCUAGCGAGUGGAAGACAAUCUGCUACAAGU
Ornithorhynchus anatinus (platypus) is the source of this 138-nucleotide small nucleolar RNA. NCBI's taxonomy places the organism in Eukaryota, Metazoa, Chordata, Mammalia, Monotremata, Ornithorhynchidae. The record is from RefSeq and is a predicted model, not a curated record.